UCGAGAAUCAUUCACAAUGGGGGAAACCCUGAUGGUGCGACGCCGCGUGGGGGAAUGAAGGUCUUCGGAUUGUAAACCCCUGUCAUGUGGGAGCAAAUUAAAAAGAUAGUACCACAAGAGGAAGAGACGGCUAACUCUGUGCCAGCAGCCGCGGUAAUACAGAGGUCUCAAGCGUUGUUCGGAAUCACUGGGCGUAAAGCGUGCGUAGGCUGUUUCGUAAGUCGUGUGUGAAAGGCGCGGGCUCAACCCGCGGACGGCACAUGAUACUGCGAGACUAGAGUAAUGGAGGGGGAACCGGAAUUCUCGGUGUAGCAGUGAAAUGCGUAGAUAUCGAGAGGAACACUCGUGGCGAAGGCGGGUUCCUGGACAUUAACUGACGCUGAGGCACGAAGGCCAGGGGAGCGAAAGG
Molecule: ribosomal RNA, 409 nt
Filed under: uncultured bacterium
Lineage: Bacteria
Description: bacterial SSU rRNA
Rfam family: Bacterial small subunit ribosomal RNA
Source: RNAcentral